Long non-coding RNA from Hydra vulgaris (swiftwater hydra), 765 nucleotides. RefSeq lists it as uncharacterized. Lineage: Eukaryota; Metazoa; Cnidaria; Hydrozoa; Anthoathecata; Hydridae. The record is from RefSeq and is a predicted model, not a curated record.
UUUCACAUCAAAUUUGUUUUUGAUAAUUUCUUUACUAUAAUAUUUUUUUUUAGCUUUCUUGAGAAGAUUUGCGUAAAAGCAGUUAUAACUUUUGGAUCGCCAUUGGAUGGGAAAAGAUUUAUUUUAAAGAAUAUUGGGAAGUGAUCACUAAUAUCAGUUUUAAAAAUACCUGUCUUAAAUGACGUUUCUAUAUAAUUGUUAAUAAAGAUAUAAUCGAUUGCAGUUGCCGAACUUUUAAUAACCCUAGUUGGUUUAUUUAUAACUGGCUGCUGACAAAGAACAUGAAUGGUUAGUUUGAUCAGAAGUAAAUCAAAAAUAGUGUAUUCUUAAAAAGAAAAAAGAACAAUAACGAACAAAAAGAGUGAGUGAAGUGAAGUAAAGUUUAUUAUUCUACUCGACAGAAAAGUGAAAUUUUGCUAAAAAAAACUAGGUUUUAUAAGACCUUGAAGCCAUUGAUGGCCGUAUCCCAAAUAUUUUUCGGUGGGAAAGUGUUCAGGCUUUGGAUUGCUUCCGCCUUUCGGUUUGCGGCCAAUUUUUAUCAGAAACAAUUGUGAGUUCAAAAUUAUUUCUGAUAAAAGUUCUUUGCCAGUUUACAAUUUUUUACGCUAAUUUCGAAACUAGUAUCAGAUUUUUUGUUGCACGUUUUUUUAUGAUGAAAGCGUAUAUGCUAAUAAUUUUCAAUAAUAAUGUUGGCAAAGUAUUACUUUGUUCAACAUUUUAUUGGAUUUGUCUUAUGUAUUUAAUGAUAAACAUUUAACAUAUUUC